Molecule: long non-coding RNA, 5639 nt
Organism: Pseudophryne corroboree (corroboree frog)
Lineage: Eukaryota; Metazoa; Chordata; Amphibia; Anura; Myobatrachidae
Exons: 5
Source: RefSeq, a predicted model, not a curated record
UGCAUCCAGUGACAUCUAGAGAGCCUCAGGAGCACUGCACCAGGGUGUACCAAGAUGGCCGCCGCCGGGAGACCAGGCAGGGGAUUUCACUCACUAACUACAGCCACAGCAGACAGGGAGGGCGCUUCCCCACUUCCAAAGAUUUAACAUCAGAGAAGACUCCCGUAAAUGAGAUACAGGUUUAUAUGAGGAAUAUCCAGUUGUAUAUUUAAUCCGCAGCAUGCACAAAUUCACUGAAAAAGCACAGCUCAACCACCUCAAGCUUUCUGAUAAAUGCAAACAACUGUAUCAAGCACAAUGGACAAUUCCAGUUACAAGAACCUGUAGAGGAAUGAGAUGCAUUUAUAUAUGGAUGGCUUUGUUACAAAAGAAGUCUCUGUAUUAAUAAAUCAGCAUCUGACAAAUAUACCCUAUGGUGCGUCUCUUUACACAAUGAUUUCUUUGCUCUCGCUGUUCUACAAUGAGGGCUGAAGUCAUCUUCACAUAGUAGUGGUAGUCCUGGAGCUGCUCUUCGUUUAAGUACUUGGACACUGCUUCUAGAACCACCUGCUCUCUCCAGGUUACAUGAGCCUUUAAUUCCUUAGCAUCCUCCAACUGGUCAGUCAGUUGUUUCUUCUUCUCCAGAAGGCUCAGCUGCGAACGGAAGGAAAAAAAGAAAAAAGAAAAAGUACAUUAAACAAAAGAGGGUUCCGAGUCUUCACUACUCAAGGCACUCUCCACCCUGCUCAGCCGUCCAGAGAGCGACAACAGCAAGUUGACCACCUUGUCCAGGUCCCCAAUGAAGAAACUGUGCCUGAGGAGACGGACAUAUCCUGAGGAAAGAUGUAACAGAACAGUGGUGAGAUUCGAACCAGCAUACACAAACAAGAGGAAAGCCAUGCUAACCAAAACUGAACAGGAACAGCAACAGCUGAACCGACAAAAUUACUUAACGAAGUAACAGGGCAGGAAACACGAAGCACUAGGCGGGCGCCCAGUAUCCUCUACGGCAGGCUUUCCCAACAGCAAUCCUCAAGGCACAUUAACAGUCCAGGAUUUAGUGAUAUCCAUGCUUGAACACAGGUGGAUAAAUCAGUAUCUCGGUUAUUUUGAGUUAACUAUCUGUGUAGAAGCCUGGAUAUCACUAAAACCUGCACUGUUAGUGUGCCUUAAGGACCUAGGUUGGGAAUACCUGCUCUACGGACUACGUUAGUAUAAUGGGGAUGUACCAAAGCUCCCAAAUCGGGUUGGAGAGUGCUGAGGUUCCUGCAGAACUGAUUGACCAAACUAAAGGUCCUCACAGGCCAAAGUAUCAAACUUGUAGAACUUAGCAAACGUGUUCAAACCCGACCAAGUAGCUGCUCGGCAGAGCUGUAAAGCCGAGAUAACCCCAGGCAACUGCCCAGGAAGAACCCACCGAGCUAGCAGAGUGGGCCUGUACUUUAGGAACCGGCAAUCCUGUGGUAGAAUAAGCGUGCUGGAUAGUAAGUCUGAUCCAGCGAGCAAUAGAAUACUUUGAAGCAGGACACCCAAUUUUCUUGGGAUCAUAGAGAACAAACAGCGAGUCAGAUUUUCAGUGACGAGCUGUCCUCUUCACGUAGAUCUUCAAAUCCCUCACAACAUCCAGGGACUUGAGGUAGCACAAUGUGUCAGUAAGCACCAGAACCACAAUAGGUUGGUUGAUAUGAAACGCAGACAUGACCUUCGGAAGAAACUGCUGACGAGUUUUGAGUUCAGCUCUAGCCUCAUGAAAAAUCAAAUAGGGACUUUUGUGAGACAACGACCCCAGUUCGGACACACGCCUUGUGGAAGCCAAGGCCAACAGUGUAACACUCUUCCAUGUAAAAAACUUAACGUCAAGCCAGUCCAACUGCAGAAACUCGAACACCAAGUUAAGAUCCCAAGGUGCCGUGGGAGGUACAAAGGACGGUUGGAUGUACAGAACACCCCUCAAGAACGUCUGAACCUCAGGGAGGGAAGCCAAUUGUUUCUGGAAGAAAAUGGACAAGGCGAUAUCUGGACUUUCAAGGAGCCCAAACGUAGGCCCACAUCCACACCUGACUGUAGAAAAAAAGAGAAAAACAUCCCAGUUGAAAUUCUACUGCAGGAAAUUUCCUGUUUUCACACCACGAGACAUAUUUUUUCCAAAGAUGGUGGUAAUGUUUAGACAUUUCCCCCUUUCUUGCUUGGAAUGCCUUUCCAGGCUAAAAUCUGAUGCUCAACUUCCAUGCUGUCAAACGUAGCAGCGGUAAGUCUUGAUAGACGAAUGGCCCCUGAUGCAGAAGAUCCUCUCGUAGAGGCAGAGGCCACAGGUCCUCCAGGAGCAACUCCAGUAGAUCCGCGUACCAGGCCCUUCUCGGCCAAUCUGGAGCAAUGAGAAUUGCUUGAACCUCUUCCCUUUUAAUUCUUUGAGAAUUCUUGGGAUUAGAGGAAGAGGUGGGAACACGUAAAUCCUCUGGUAAACCCAUGGAGUCACCAGAGCAUCCACCGCCACUACUUGUGGGUCCCUCGACCUGGAAUAAUAGCAUUUUAGCUUCUUGUUGAGAUGAGAUAUAUAAAAUAUAAAACACAUAUAUAAAAUACAUAUAUAAAACAAAUAUGUGUAACACUUUCACACCAUUCUUUUUCACUCUUCACAUUAUUCACACAUGCAGCAGUAGCUGCUCCUACCUAUCUAAUGCUUUACUUGUAUCACUCUUGAAGUGCCCUGGGGUUGUCUGGCUGGGUGGCAACCCCAGGGCACUGCACCCCGUCCCCGAACCCUUGUAGUUAGUGUUAGGGACUUACCCAAUGAGAGGCUACCUUGGUGCGGUGGGUAAGCUCAUAGCCCUGGCCACGAUUAUGCUAAAUGCCUCUGGUUAUUACAGGUUGAGCUAGUGUGAAAUAGUGCACCUGCAUCUUUUUCUCUCUGUAUAGUGUGGACCACCAUCAUGCUGAAGGCUUUGCGGAAGCAGAUCCAGGGUUCUGUUCCUGAGAACCUGCAACCCGGUUUUAUGGGUUUACCUUUACUACCUUUGAAGGCUGUAGAAGAACCCUUGGAUCUGCCUUUGAAUUUUGCUGUCCGCAAGGACUGCAGAGUCGGAGCAGAGUAGGUAUUUCUAGUUGGGGGUGCUGCGGAAGGAAGGCAAGGAGACUUACCCACCGUAGCCUUGGAUAUCAACUUAUCCAGUUCAUCUCCAAACAAGACUUCACUUGUGAAAGGUAAAUUUUCCACUCCUUUCCUGGAAUCCGCAUCCGCCGUCCACUGGCGCAGCCACAAGCCCCUGCGUGCUGAGACUGCCAUGGCAGUGGUGCGUGCGUUGAGCAAACCAAUUUCCUUUAAGGCCCCGACCGUAAAGAUAGCAGAGUCCUGAAUAAGCUGCAGGAGUAAAACAAUCUCCCCCCUGGGAAAGGUAUCCAAUCCAUCAAUUAAGUUACCUGACCACUGUGCAAUGGCUUUAGUGAUCCAUGCGCAAGCAAAAGUGUACAGUGAUUUGAGAGUGUUCUCAAUCUUUCGGUCAGCUGUGUCCUUUAAGGAUGCUGCCCCAGGAACAGGUAAGACUAUCUUACGCGACAGCCUAGAUACCGAUGCGCCCACCAUCAGCGGGUUUUCCCAUUUCUUUCUAUCAUCCAGAGGAAAGGGAAAGGAUGUAAUUACAUUUUUUGACAGGAUUAGCCCAAGUUUGUUCAAACAAAGGCCCUCAUUCCGAGUUGUUCGCUCGUUAAUUUUCUUCGCAUCGCAGCGAUUUUCCGCUAAUUGCGCAUGCGCAAUGUUCGCACUGCGACUGCGCCAAGUAAAUUUGCUAAGAAGUUUGGUAUUUUACUCACGGCAUUACGAGGUUUUUUCUUCGUUCUGGUGAUCGGAGUGUGAUUGACAGGAAGUGGGUGUUUCUGGGCGGAAACUGGCCGUUUUAUUGGUGUGUGUGAAAAAACGCUACCGUUUCUGGGAAAAACGCGGGAGUGUCUGAAGAAACGGGGGUGUGUCUGGGCGAACGCUGGGUGUGUUUGUGAUGUCAAACCAGGAACAAAACUGACUGAACUGAUCGCAGUGGCAGAGUAAGUCCCGAGCUACUCAGAAACUGCAAAGAAAUUUCUGUUCGCAAUUUUGAGAAUCUUUCGUUCGCACUUUUGAUAAGCUAAGAUUCACUCCCAGAGGGCGGCGGCUUAGCGUGUGCAAUGCUGCUAAAAGCAGCUUGCGAGCGAACAACUCGGAAUGAGGGCCAAAGUAUUUAAUUCCUUUGAUGCCGGAAAGGUAGCUGAGGAUUUCUUUUUUAUAUUAAAAUAAGAUUCCUCCUCAACCUCAGCCAUCUUAUCAGGAGUGUGCAGGACAUUUCUGACAGCUUCUAUCAUGGCCUUUAUGCCCUGUGACAGGAUGGCAUCCCCUCCACUCACAUCUACUUCACCCUCCUCUGGAUCUGAUGUAUCGUCAUCAGUAUAACCCUGCAUGAGUUGGGCCAAAGUACGCUUUUGCGGGGGGGUGAGAUGCUGGUAUGGGGACUGAAUCUUUAUUUAUUAGGUCAUCCAUAGUCUGUCUUAAAAUUUGUCUCUCUCUCAUUAUGGGAUAAUGUUGUAGAAAUAUUAGAUAUCAUCCCUUUAAUGGAAGCUAACCAUGGGGGUUCUGCCCCACUAGCCUGAGAAUAGACACUAUCCUGAGUACAGGGUAGUGAGUCCCCAGGGGAGGAAAGACACUCCACUGUACAUGACACGCAGUCCCUGGACAUGGUUGUGAAGGGACACCCACACGCUCAAUGGGAACACGGAUUAUCUUUAUAGAGUCUUAGGGAGACACAGAAGUCAGAGCCAACCAAACAGCGCCCCUUUAGCCAAAGCAAACAUUUUAGCUGGGUCGCGAUACUAGCACCUUUAUAGGGUUUCGUAUACUACCACUGCACCCCCCACCCCCUCACUAUGACCCCCUGGUACUGCUGAGGAGACGAGGAGUUCUUGUGGAUGAGCUGCGCUUCCUUGUAUAUGCUGCUUGUACAAUCUGAAGAGGGAAAAUGGCACUGGUGAGCUGCUGGAUCCGCUCAGUGAGAAGGUAUUCGAGCACCAGAGCCGGGAGUGUAAAGUUACAGAACCCAGGAGGAACUGUGGUAAAAAUGUGCACUAUUUACAACAUGGCCAUGUGUAAUUAAAUGUUGGGUUAUAUGAUUAACUCUGCUGCUUUGAGAGAAACAUUGCUGUAUGCCCAAACAGCCUACGAAUAAUCAACUAACUGCUGCUGUGCAUUAACUCAAUUAAUCUCUGCAUGCUAAACAAAGUAAUCUGGAAGCAGAGAACGUUGUAUUUUAAAGCAGCAUAGACUCCUGAAUAUCAGAACACACUCUGAGUAAGAGACUGUGCAAUAAAUUGUUUGGCUAUAAUUCAGUAGAAAAGUAUCAAUUUUCAACUUGAGCUGAUAUGAGCAACUAAAUAUCAAAGUGGAGCUUGGAAACUUUGUAACACUGCAGUGAAACAGUGCGAGCAAUGUAUAUUGAGCUGCUUGUUUUAAGUGUCUAUAGAAAGAAAUUACUCUACAGAGCAGAGCAUUGAGCUGUAUGAAAUGUGAGAUUAUUAUUUUAUGUACACAGUGCCGGGUUUUUUAGAUGAUAUUAUUUUUAAAAAUCUGUAUAGAGAGGUAUGAAAAGGAGUUAUAUUUAAUAUAAGAUUUGAGUAAAAUAAAAAAACUGUUUAAUAAGAAA